RNAcentral lists this ribosomal RNA (1440 nucleotides) under Solanum arcanum. RNAcentral's name for it is "bacterial SSU rRNA". The stretch from base 303 to 1440 matches the Rfam family "Bacterial small subunit ribosomal RNA". Lineage: Eukaryota; Viridiplantae; Streptophyta; Magnoliopsida; Solanales; Solanaceae. The record is from RNAcentral.
UUGCGAUAAUAAAGAUCCACUACUUGCCUUGUCGACGCUAAACUCAGUACCUCGCUUCCUUACUAGUACACCUACUAGACCCAUACUCAUUACGAAUGUGUUCAUCAGACAUUUGACUUAGCCACCUUCUGCAUAGACCAACAACGAUAAGGAAGGAGUUCUAUGGAUAAUGGGAUAUAGAAGUCAGGUGCGACGGUCAGCUCAGUCAGAGCGGAAGCGGUCAGGCAAGGUUAUUUUCAAAAAAUGUAGUGCAAGCGACGAGUAGCACUUGCCAUAAAGAAGCUAGCUAGAAAGCAGGCCAGGCAGGCGAGCGAUAGUACAAGAAAGCUAACACGUGGGCAAGGUUGAAGUCCCACGAGUAGUGAACUUCUUUUCCCGGAGAAGAAGCAAUGACGGUAUCUGGGGAAUAAGCAUCGGCUAACUCUGUGCCAGCAGCCGCGGUAAUACAGAGGAUGCAAGCGUUAUCCGGAAUGAUUGGGCGUAAAGCGUCUGUAGGUGGCUUUUUAAGUCCGCCGUCAAAUCCCAGGGCUCAACCCUGGACAGGCAGUGGAAACUACCAAGCUGCAGUAUGGUAGGGGCAGAGGGAAUUUCCGGUGGAGCGGUGAAAUGCGUAGAGAUCGGAAAGAACACCAACGGCGAAAGCACUCUGCUGGGCCGACACUGACACUGAGAGACGAAAGCUAGGGGAGCGAAUGGGAUUAGAUACCCCAUAGCCCUAGCCGUAAACGACGGAUACUAGGCACUGUGCAUAUCGACCCGUGCAGUGCUGUAGCUAACGCGUUAAGUAUCCCGCAUGGGGAGUAUGGUAGCAAGACCGAAACACAAAGGAAUUUACAGGGGCCUGCACAAGCGGUAAAGAAUGUGGUUUAAUUCGACACAACGCGCAAAACCUUACCAGGGCUUGACAUGCUGCGAAUCCUCUUGAAAGAAAGGGGUGCCUUCGGGAAUACGGAAACUGGUGGUGCAUGGUUGUCGACAACUCGUGGCGUAAGGUGUUAGGUUAAGUCCCGCUACGAGCGCAACACUCAUGUUUAGUUGCCAUCGUGGAGUUUGGAACCCUGAAAAGAUGGCCGGCGAUAAGCCGGAGGAAGGUGAGGAUGAYGUCAAGUCAUCAUGCCCCUUAUGCCCUAGGAGACACACAUGCUAUAAUGUCCGGUACAAAAGGUCGCGAUCCCGCGAGGGUGAGCUUACCCCAAAAACCCAUCCUAAGUUAAGAUUGCAAGCUGCAACUCGCCUGCAUGAAGUAGAAAUCGCUAGUAAUCGCCUGUCAGCCAUACAACGGAGAAUUCGUUCCUGGGUUUCGUACACACCGCCCGUCACAAUAUCGGAGCUAUACAUGCCCGAAGUCGUUACCUUAACYGCAAGGAGGGGGAUGCCGAAUGCAGGGCUAGUGACUGGAGUGAAGUUGUAACAAGGUAGCCGUACUGGAAGUUGCGGCUG